This 253-nucleotide ribosomal RNA is filed under the name uncultured bacterium. RNAcentral's name for it is "partial 16S ribosomal RNA". It matches the Rfam family "Bacterial small subunit ribosomal RNA", at positions 524 to 776 of the family's 1533-position model. The record is from RNAcentral.
UACGGAAGGCCCGAGCGUUAAUCGGUAUCACUGGGCUUAAAGCGUGCCCAGGCGGAAAGGAAGGCGCCUGGUGAAAUCCCACGGCUCAACCGUGGAAUUGCUGGGCGAACCGCCGUUCUUGAGGCAGGUAGGGGUCAGCGGAACUAUGGGUGGAGCGGUGAAAUGCGUAGAUAUCCAUGGGUACGCCGAUGGCGAAGGCAGCUGACUGGGCCUGUCCUGACGCUCAGGCACGAAAGCGUGGGUAGCAAACGGG